GAUGAACGCUGGCGGCGUGCCUAAUACAUGCAAGUCGAACGAAACUUCUUUAUCACCGAGUGCUUGCACUCACCGAUAAAGAGUUGAGUGGCGAACGGGUGAGUAACACGUGGGCAACCUGCCCAAAAGAGGGGGAUAACACUUGGAAACAGGUGCUAAUACCGCAUAACCAUAGUUACCGCAUGGUAACUAUGUAAAAGGUGGCUAUACUACCGCUUUUGGAUGGGCCCGCGGCGCAUUAGCUAGUUGGUAGGGUAAAGGCUUACCAAGGCAAUGAUGCGUAGCCGAAGUGAGAGGUUGAUCGGCCACAUUGGGGCUGAGACACGGCCCAAACUCCUACGGGAGGCAGCAGUAGGGAAUCGUCCAAAAUGGGCGAAAGCCUGAUGGAGCAACGCCGCGUGGGUGAAGAAGGUCUUCGGAUCGUAAAACCCUGUUGUUAGAGAAGAAAGUGCGUGAGAGUAACGGUUCACGUUUCGACGGUAUCUAACCAGAAAGCCACGGCUAACUACGU
RNAcentral lists this ribosomal RNA (511 nucleotides) under uncultured bacterium. RNAcentral describes it as "partial 16S ribosomal RNA". It matches the Rfam family "Bacterial small subunit ribosomal RNA", at positions 28 to 506 of the family's 1533-position model. The record is from RNAcentral.